UGUGAGAGGGUCGUGGCUGAAUCCCA
Molecule: non-coding RNA, 26 nt
Filed under: Mus musculus (house mouse)
Lineage: Eukaryota; Metazoa; Chordata; Mammalia; Rodentia; Muridae
Source: RNAcentral